RNAcentral lists this small RNA (65 nucleotides) under Prodigiosinella confusarubida. RNAcentral's name for it is "Serratia sp. ATCC 39006 Enterobacterial sRNA STnc240". It matches the Rfam family "Enterobacterial sRNA STnc240". The record is from Rfam by way of RNAcentral. Lineage: Bacteria; Pseudomonadati; Pseudomonadota; Gammaproteobacteria; Enterobacterales; Pectobacteriaceae.
CUUCUCUGGGGCAAAAUACGCGCCCUACAAGUAACCGACGUUGAUAGCGUCGGUUAUUUUUUUGU